This 429-nucleotide ribosomal RNA is filed under the name Actinomycetes bacterium. RNAcentral's name for it is "Actinobacteria bacterium partial 16S ribosomal RNA". It matches the Rfam family "Bacterial small subunit ribosomal RNA", at positions 355 to 776 of the family's 1533-position model. Lineage: Bacteria; Bacillati; Actinomycetota; Actinomycetes. The record is from RNAcentral.
UGGGUAAUUUUGGACAAUGGGGGCAACCCUGAUCCAGCAAUGCCGCGUGAGUGAAGAAGGCCUUCGGGUUGUAAAGCUCUUUUGUCAGGGAAGAAACGGUGAGGGCUAAUAUCCUUUGCUAAUGACGGUACCUGAAGAAUAAGCACCGGCCAACUACGUGCCAGCAGCCGCGGUAAUACGUAGGGUGCAAGCGUUAAUCGGAAUUACUGGGCGUAAAGCGUGCGCAGGCGGUUAUGUAAGUCAGAUGUGAAAUCCCCGGGCUCAACCUGGGAAUGGCAUUUGAGACUGCAGGGCUAGAGUGUGUCAGAGGGGGGUAGAAUUCCACGUGUAGCAGUGAAAUGCGUAGAGAUGUGGAGGAAUACCGAUGGCGAAGGCAGCCCCCUGGGAUAACACUGACGCUCAUGAACGAAAGCGUGGGGAGCAAACAGG